GGAUGCGAUCAUACCAGCACUAAACACCGGA
This 31-nucleotide ribosomal RNA is filed under the name Deschampsia antarctica (Antarctic hairgrass). Lineage: Eukaryota; Viridiplantae; Streptophyta; Magnoliopsida; Poales; Poaceae. The record is from RNAcentral.